This 2228-nucleotide unclassified non-coding RNA is filed under the name Leishmania donovani. RNAcentral describes it as "gene:LdHU3.24.0940(CDS-product:hypothetical_prote in_conserved)". Lineage: Eukaryota; Euglenozoa; Kinetoplastea; Trypanosomatida; Trypanosomatidae. The record is from RNAcentral.
CGGCCCCCUUACACAUUCCAAGGAAACAAGCGAGAGAUAAAGUGUGCGCGUGUGCAUGUCUUCCAUGAGCUCAAGCGACGAUGCUCCGCCGCACAAACGCCUCGCCUCAGAGCAGUCCAAGCGUGACAGCUGCACCCAUGUUGGUGCCCGAGAACACAUCCACGACGCCCCAGCGCUAAGCGCGCGCGCACGCUUUCUGCGAGAGCUGGAGCGGUACGCGAGCGAUGACGAUGAUUAUGGCGGCAACGGGGGCGCCGUUGUCGUCGGUGCAGGGCCCAUGCGGCAGCCGGAACACGCAAACGGAACACCACAGAGGAGAUCCGCAUCCCCGCUGGCAUCGGCCACUCGCGCUGCUGCGCCUUCUGUCGGCCCAUCAAGCAGCUCAGACUUCUUCUUCGGUGGCGAAGGUGACCCGCACGACGAAGCGGAUGACGAAGCCGUCGGUGAUGAUGCGGUGUGGAGCACGGCAUCCGCUGCCUCGCUAGCGAGAACCCUCAACGGUGUCCCCGUCACUGGCUCCACCAACGACAGCAGCACAACAGGCGGCCGUGCAGCACCGUCUCGGGUUGGCCUGCAGCUGCUGCAUCGCAUGCACGCGCUCAACACAUCCGGCGACCGCAGAAGCAGCAGCCACGGCCCCGCCGUUCAUUCCGCCGCAACGAGUGCAAAAGUGAUGAUACCCCAGACGUCAUCCACACCGACGUCAUCUGGUGACUUCGAGGUCGUUCACGCGUAUGUGCCACUGAGCACAGGCGGCUUCCUGAGCACGGCCAACGCGGAGCAUGACGCAAUGGAAGGGCAUCAGGUGCGCAUCGGCGACGUUCUCUCUCUGCGGAAGCCUCUCAGCUGCGCAGACCCACCAUCGAGCAGCGCAGUGGCGAGUGCGCCUGCCUCAUCCCCUUCAACUUCAACUGCCACUCCGUCAACCGUAGCCCCCACCCUCACCACCGGCGCGGCGGCGGCUGGUGCGUCGGCCACCGGCUCGCUAGUGGAGGACGUUGCGCAGAAAGCGAUGCGUCACUUCAAGAGCGCCGCCACCUUCACCUCCGAGGAGCAGAAAUAUGGCCGGAAACUCACCCCCGAUAUGGUGCACCUGCUCUUCGAGGUCACGCGGGUGGAUUAUCAAGGACGCAGCAUCGAGGCGCUCUUCCUGGACGGCACACGCGCGAAGGUAUCCUUCUUCGAGGUGCGGCCGGCAGGGUACGUGGAGCGGAAAAUGCACGCGACGUGGAAGGCCGAUCCAGCAAGUCGCCCUGUGGCCAUCAUCCAUAGCAACGCGUCGUCGCCGACCACGUCGUCGGCCCCAAACGGAGCCGUGUUGCCGUCCUCCGCGCCGUCACCUGCGCUCCCGCCACCGCCGUCAGUCACCGCUGCCGCGUGGUGGGUGAUCCCGCAUCUUCUCGUGCGUGUCACGACGGAGGCGGCCGGCGACUGGUACGGCAAGAAAUGCGUCGUGAAGACCGUGCAGCGAAGCGAGAACCGCGUCCGGCUGAUGGAAUGGGUGGAGGAGGGCCGCAGCGGCAGCGGUGAGAGCGGCAGCAGGAGCUUCCACAACUGCGGUAAGCCGAAGGCGGCCACGGCUGACACUCGAGAGCUGAUAGGGGUGGACGGGCUUGAGACGGUGGUUCCCAAGAAGGGUGGUCGUGCCAUGGUGGUACUGGGAAGCCGGCGAGGCGAAAUGUGCACCGUUCGCAACCGCAUUCGUGGUGCUGAUGGUGAGUUGGCGGCCGUCGAAGUGGAGAUCAACCGAACAAAGGAGGUGAUGACGCUACAGGCGGGCGAGCUGUGUGCCCUGGCGCGCUGAGUCCAGCGCUCUCUGCCUGUCUAUCGCGGAUGCCGAUGGCUGUUGCUGCGCUCUUCCUUGUCCAUACUCGCCCAACCCCACCACCACCACCACCACCUGUCCACCUUGCUUUCCUAGCCCCUAUGUGCUUUCAGCCCUGACUCUCUGACCGACUCACAUGAUCAAGACACGGGACAGACGAAGCGCAUGGAGAGUAUGCAGUAGACCAUGGGCGCACUGUCACCACCACCCGGCCCCUGCCCCCGUGCAAGACACGCGUGCACACGUGCAUGCGCAUUCCCUCCAUCAGAGCAUAUGCAUCUAAAGCAUACAAGAGUGCGGCACGAGUACCAGCACAGACAGGCAGACGCGCAGAUGCGCUCUACCGCGACAUUCCUCCAUCAGCUGCAGCCCCCCUCCCCAAUUCAUCCACACCUCUGCCCUG